This 425-nucleotide ribosomal RNA is filed under the name uncultured bacterium. RNAcentral describes it as "bacterial SSU rRNA". It matches the Rfam family "Bacterial small subunit ribosomal RNA", at positions 357 to 774 of the family's 1533-position model. The record is from RNAcentral.
GGGAAUUUUGGACAAUGGGCGAAAGCCUGAUCCAGCCAUGCCGCGUGAGUGAAGAAGGCCUUCGGGUUGUAAAGCUCUUUUAGUCGGAAAGAAAGAGUUGCAAUGAAUAAUUGUGAUUUAUGACGGUACCGACAGAAAAAGCACCGGCUAACUACGUGCCAGCAGCCGCGGUAAUACGUAGGGUGCGAGCGUUAAUCGGAAUUACUGGGCGUAAAGGGUGCGCAGGCGGUCUUGCAAGUCAGAUGUGAAAGCCCCGGGCUUAACCUGGGAAUUGCGUUUGAAACUACAAGACUAGAGUGCAGCAGAGGGGAGUGGAAUUCCAUGUGUAGCAGUGAAAUGCGUAGAGAUGUGGAAGAACACCGAUGGCGAAGGCAGCCCCCUGGGCCAAUACUGACGCUCAUGCACGAAAGCGUGGGGAGCAAACA